Centruroides sculpturatus (bark scorpion) is the source of this 267-nucleotide long non-coding RNA. RefSeq lists it as uncharacterized. The transcript is spliced from 2 exons. Lineage: Eukaryota; Metazoa; Arthropoda; Arachnida; Scorpiones; Buthidae. The record is from RefSeq and is a predicted model, not a curated record.
AAUAUACACCCUUUGUAUAUUUACUUGCUCCCUUCGUACAUUUGCUUGCUCUCUUUGUAAGAUGUUGGGCGAGAAAACGAAGAAAGGGAGCAAGCGAACGAAGCAAGAGAGAGAGAGGUUGAACGAAAAAAGCAUGCAAUUCAAGAGAAAGAGAUAGAGGUUGAACGAAAAGAGCAUGCAAUUCAAGAGAGAGAGAUAGAGGUUGAACGAAGAGAGUGUACAAUUAAAGAAGGGGCAAGAGCAAAUGAAAAUAGAAAAAAUGAAAGA